AGGGCACCACCAGGAGUGGAGCCUGCGGCUUAAUUUGACUCAACACGGGAAAACUCACCCGGCCCGGACACUGGAAGGAUUGACAGAUUGAGAGCUCUUUCUUGAUUCAGUGGGUGGUGGUGCAUGGCCGUUCUUAGUUGGUGGAGUGAUUUGUCUGGUUAAUUCCGAUAACGAACGAGACUCUAGCCUAUUGAAUAGAUCGUUGGCUUACAAACGCCGGCGAGACUUCUUAGAGGGACAGGCGGCGAUUCAGCCGCACGAAACAGAGCAAUAACAGGUCUGUGAUGCCCUUAGAUGUCCGGGGCCGCACGCGCGCUACACUGAAGUGAUCAGCGUGCAUUUUGAAACCUACUCUGUCAAGAGUGGGGAACCCAAUGAACCUUCUUCGUGAUUGGGAUAGGGGAUUGUAAUUAUUCCCCUUGAACGAGGAAUUCCCAGUAAGCGCGAAUCAUAAGUUUGCGCUGAUUACGUCCCUGCCCUUUGUACACACCGCCCGUCGCUACUACCGAUUGAAUGUUU
Molecule: ribosomal RNA, 519 nt
Filed under: uncultured eukaryote
Lineage: Eukaryota
Description: SSU rRNA
Rfam family: Eukaryotic small subunit ribosomal RNA
Source: RNAcentral